UGGGGGAUAUUGCACAAUGGGCGAAAGCCUGAUGCAGCGACGCCGCGUGGGGGAUGAAGGCUUUCGGGUUGUAAACCUCUUUCGCUACCGAACAAGGCCCGCUUAGGGUGGGUUGAGGGUAGGUGGAGAAGAAGCGCCGGCUAACUACGUGCCAGCAGCCGCGGUAAUACGUAGGGCGCGAGCGUUGUCCGGAAUUAUUGGGCGUAAAGGGCUUGUAGGCGGCUUGUUGCGCCUGCUGUGAAAACGCGGGGCUUAACUUCGCGCGUGCAGUGGGUACGGGCAGGCUUGAGUGUGGUAGGGGUGACUGGAAUUCCAGGUGUAGCGGUGGAAUGCGCAGAUAUCUGGAGGAACACCGAUGGCGAAGGCAGGUCACUGGGCCAUUACUGACGCGGAGGAGCGAAAGCAUGGGUAGCGAACAGG
Molecule: ribosomal RNA, 420 nt
Filed under: bacterium
Lineage: Bacteria
Description: partial 16S ribosomal RNA
Rfam family: Bacterial small subunit ribosomal RNA
Source: RNAcentral